Molecule: ribosomal RNA, 366 nt
Filed under: uncultured soil bacterium
Lineage: Bacteria
Description: bacterial SSU rRNA
Rfam family: Bacterial small subunit ribosomal RNA
Source: RNAcentral
AGAAUGAACGCUGGCGGCGUGCUUAACACAUGCAAGUCGCGCGCGAAAGUGGCUUCGGCCACGAGUAGAGCGGCGAACGGGUGAGUAACACGUGGAUAACCUACCUGGGAGCGGGGGAUAACCGUGGGAAACGUCGGGCUAAUACCGCAUACGUUCGCGGCGCUUCGACGCCGUGAGGAAGAUGGCCUCUGCUUGCAAGCUAUCUCUCCCAGAUGGGUCCGCGCCUGAUUAGCUAGUUGGCGGGUAAUGGCCCACCAAGGCGACGAUCAGUAGCCGGCUGAGAGGGCGAGUCGGCCACACUGGAACUGAGACACGGUCCAGACUCCGUACGGGAGCAGCAGUGGGAGUAUUGGACAAUAGGACGAA